CCGCGGUAAUACAUAGGGUGCAAGCGUUGUCCGGAAUUAUUGGGCGUAAAGAGCUCGUAGGUCGUUAAUUACGUCGGGUGUGAAAAUCUGGGGCUCAACCCCAGACCUGCACUCGAUACGGGUUAGCUAGAGUUUGGUAGGGGAGACUGGAAUUCCUGGUGUAGCGGUGGAAUGCGCAGAUAUCAGGAGGAACACCAAUGGCGAAGGCAGGUCUCUGGGCCAAUACUGACACUGAGGAGCGAAAGCGCGGGGAGCGAACAGGAUUAGAUACCCUGGUAGUCCGCGCCGUAAACGGUGGGCGCUAGUUGUGGGAACCUUCCACGGUUUCUGCGACGCAGCUAACGCAUUAAGCGCCCCGCCUGGGGAGUACGAUCGCAAGAUUAAAACUCAAAGGA
Molecule: ribosomal RNA, 395 nt
Filed under: uncultured bacterium
Lineage: Bacteria
Description: bacterial SSU rRNA
Rfam family: Bacterial small subunit ribosomal RNA
Source: RNAcentral